This 470-nucleotide ribosomal RNA is filed under the name uncultured bacterium. RNAcentral's name for it is "bacterial SSU rRNA". It matches the Rfam family "Bacterial small subunit ribosomal RNA", at positions 8 to 479 of the family's 1533-position model. The record is from RNAcentral.
AGAGUUUGAUCCUGGCUCAGGAUGAACGCUAGCGGCAGGCCUAACACAUGCAAGUCGAGGGGUAGAGUUCUUCGGAACUUGAGACCGGCGCACGGGUGCGUAACGCGUAUGCAAUCUACCUUAUACAGGGGAAUAGCCCAGAGAAAUUUGGAUUAAUGCCUCAUGGUAUUAUAGAGUGGCAUCACUUUAUAAUUAAAGUUCCAACGGUAUAAGAUGAGCAUGCGUCCCAUUAGUUAGUUGGUAAGGUAACGGCUUACCAAGACAAUGAUGGGUAGGGGUCCUGAGAGGGAGAUCCCCCACACUGGUACUGAGACACGGACCAGACUCCUACGGGAGGCAGCAGUGAGGAAUAUUGGUCAAUGGGCGCAAGCCUGAACCAGCCAUGCCGCGUGCAGGAAGAAGCAUCUAUGGUGUGUUUUCUGCUUUUAUACAGGAAGAAACAACUCUACGUGUAGAGUCUUGACGGUACU